Molecule: non-coding RNA, 3503 nt
Organism: Phalacrocorax carbo (great cormorant)
Lineage: Eukaryota; Metazoa; Chordata; Aves; Suliformes; Phalacrocoracidae
Source: RefSeq, a predicted model, not a curated record
GCCUGCACAGCUGGUGGAGGUUUCAAAGAAGUUACUCAUUAAAAGAAAACAACCAGAUGAACGCCAACAGCAAAAGACAACGCUAACCACUGAUGAAGAAUAGGGGAGGGAAAUGGUAUAGGAAGGCUCUGGCUGCUCUCAGAGGGCUUUUCAGAUGUGUCCCGGCACAGCUCUGCCUCUCAGAUUGGCAGGUCGGCUGAUCUCUGUGGACUCCAACUUCAGCAGUCGUUUCUGCUUGAGUGGCCAGGCUGUCGAGUGGAGACUCUCCAGAGGGCAAGGGGGAGCCGGCCCGCGGGUCUUUCAAAUACGCGGCAAACAUAAGUGCAAAUCCUGACAUUUUAUUGCUUUGCAGGAGGCUCAGCCUCACGGCGUCGCCACUUCUGAAGCGCUAGAGCCCUGUGGCACCCGUCUGCCUGCGUCUCUCUGCAUACAGCCGUGCGCUGCGCGCUCCAGACUGGGGUGAGGAGGAGGGACUACGGCCAAGUCUUGGUUUCUCAGACAGCUGCAGCUGCUGCAGGUCUCAUCCAGGCAGAUUUCCUCCCAUCGUCAUUGAUCCCCUGUGCUCUAGGUGCAGCUGUGCUUGAAGAGCCCCGGAGACCCAGGCUUGGCUUAAAGCCUUUACAGAUGCCUGGGAGCUACCGCAAGCAAAGGGGUGCCCCAACGCGGGACUUCUCAUGCCACAGCGAUCACUGUAGUCUUUGUCUGCAGGCACGUGGCAGGACUUAACUGCAGCUGCGGUUACCUUUUUUUUUUUUGGAGCAUCAGGAAGUAAAAAAAAAAAAGCUGGGAUAGAGAAAACCAUGGCGAUGCCCCUCUGACACUGUGUAAAAGUGCAAAAAACUCAGGUAAGUAGAAGUGUUAUGAUGGGGUGUGUUUUUUUGAAUUCUUACAGUUUAGUCAUCAAAAGUGUGCUCUGGUAACCAUUGCUUUGGUGACUAUAUCCGAUAUGGCUCUCAUGUACCAGCUGUUCUACACAAAUGAAUAGUUACAGACAUGAGGUGGACCUAUUUCCACUUCUUUUUAUUUGUUUUCUUAAGAGGUGGAUGAACGUUGUUUCACAUCUGCCAAAAGCACAGGCAAAAAUGGAAGAAGGUGUAGGGCUACGGCAAAACAGUUAGGCAGGUCCCACUGCUAACAGGCUCAGUAGAAAUUUAACAAUACAUUUUCCAGCAAAGAUUUUAAAGUGUCUUCUGAAAGCAUGCAGUUUCUCAAACUGUAGUACCUUAGAACUGCAGUCUCAGUACGCCAGAGGUAUUUCUAACAGGUUAACGGUUGGUUUCAUCUAUGUUUUGGCUCAAUUUUCAAGAUUUUGAGGCAGAAAAUCCAAUUAAUUAAAAUUGGAAUUUUUUUUCCCUUGGUAAAGACUUCAGGCUUGACCCCAUGACUAGUAAAACCAUCAUCAUCAAAAUCAGACACUUUUAGGUAGGGUCUGGUGCAGCUCACUUUGAUUCUUGUCCUCAUGCUAGUGGAAUAUUCAGACAUGUUGCUAGAAAUCCUGCUGCUGAAGAGAAAUGGCUUAGGAAAGCGAACCUCCCUGCAGCCUCUCCCGCCCCGCUUCGCUCUUCCUGCGCUGGGGGCAGCAGGUAUGCCUCCCGCGGGGCUCUGACGAGCAGAAUGCAAGGUCAACAGCUACGGCAGCCACAGUCUCGUCUCCCUCAAGGGCUUCAACUUCAUCUCGGUGUAAGGAUGACUUGUCACAAACUAAGGUCCCCGAGUGUCCUUCCAGCGCAGGCACUGCUGACUGUGGGGGUGCUUUUCCUGUGGGGCCAGUGUGAACAAGAACGGCUCCAGCCCUGGCUCAUGGGAAGAGCAGCCUCAGAGCUCUGGAGGGAGGCCCCUUCCCAGCACUCCCUGGCUCAUGAGUGCCAGUGACCACCAAGGGCAGGGGAGGCACCACAAGGUGAGCAACACCAAACCAUCCAGAGCAGCCCCCUCCUGUGGCAUCCUGUGCCAACAGGCACCCUGUGACUAAAGGCAUGUCGCUGCUGUGGCCUGUGUUCAGCAUCCACAGCAGAAAAAACACAUUUGGGGAAAAAACCAAACCACCUCUAAAAGACAUUUAGGAUUGUAAAUCGGCCAUCUAUUUCUCACAAAACCUUGAGGAACUGGGAGAAUGAGGGUGGGGAGCGUUCUGUGAGGACUCUGUAUUGCCUCAUCACCUGAAGUCUCAUAACUAAUUUGAAAUUCCUGUAUCCUAAGGCACAAUUAUUAUGAUUAAUGAAGAUGGUAACAGGCCCAUCCCCCACAGGCCAAGGACCAGGCCUAAGAGUUGGCUACUAAGACAGAAUAAAAGCAGCAUUAGUUUACGUGGACAAACACUAAAGAAAAAAAAUGGAGGGCACAUGGCCUGUAAUUAUUGUCAGGCUGCUCUGCUGCAGGCAUGUGUUUCACACAACACUGCCGAAGCAUCUCGUCUAUGCAUAUGUAAUUGCUGGCUCACAUUUUCACAACUGAGAGCCAAACGCCCCAACAGAGGCUAAGAAGGAAGCCCGUUUAAAUAUCAGGGCUUUGUGGAAGCAGAGAAACAGGCUAAAACAUAGUAACAACCUGCUCCUGGUGAAACAAACACCAUGGCCGCAGUUCUCAACAGUCAGGCACUCUAGAAAAGCAAGGAGUCGAAUGUCUGGAAAUUGAGGAAUACGAACUGGUUUAAUUCAGCCUUCCUUAGCGGGGAGCCCUCCCAUCAAAUCAUCCCGCCCUCAGCAGACUGACAGGUACAAGGAGGACUCUAAGCAAACAAUCACUGGCUUUCCACAUUCAGCAGAGGGGCGAUGGUGAAGGGAACACCACACACAACACCACUGUUCGUUGUGUCCCUGGUCUGUAUUUUGUCUGGUUUUUUUUCUCUGAAACACUCAAACCUGGAUAUAUUCUGCUCACAAAACCAUAAAGGGAUACUUUAAAGGAACUAAAAGCGUGUUUGUUUUGUCCACAGAUGAAACACCGGUGUAGUUGAAGACUGAACCUGUAGUGGAGUGUUAGUCAAUUGUAAACUGUAGGAGAUGUGUGCAUUUUACACAAACUGAACACAGAGGAGACGGAGGACGAGUCUGCAUCAUUCCAACUCUGAUAAAGUGCACGGCCUUCGGAAUUCCUGUCCCCGCUCGUGGAGCCAUUUAUUGGAUACUGCAAAGACAAAGGCAUUUGAUCAGCGUACCUGAGGAAAAAGAAAACCAAGACAACCCACCAACAAAGGCCCGGACGUCCAGGUGACAGGCAGCGAGAACAACGUGAGGGGUACUUACCCCAUUUGUUUCCAACUAGUACUGGGCAGGCCGCAUGCCGCGUGCUGUAAUCUCCUUCUCCGCUUGGGAAGAGGUUGUACCAGAAUACAGCCGUUCCCUGGGAAUUGCAGUGGAAACCCUCAGCAUGUUGCUCUGUGUGAUGCACGCUUUCACACCAACUUACUUAAUGAUAUGGCAACGGUACAUGUAUUUGUAUUUCAGAUGCUCCUUUUAAAUUGAAGGGUCUUUUCCAUAUGCAAACAUUUGCUUUCCUAAGGA